This 492-nucleotide ribosomal RNA is filed under the name uncultured bacterium. RNAcentral describes it as "bacterial SSU rRNA". It matches the Rfam family "Bacterial small subunit ribosomal RNA", at positions 29 to 507 of the family's 1533-position model. The record is from RNAcentral.
AGUGAACGCUGGCGGCAGGCCUAACACAUGCAAGUCGAGCGGCAGCGCGUCCGACCACCCUCGGGUGGUCGGAUGGCGGCGAGCGGCGGACGGGUGAGGAAUGCAUCGGAAUCUGCCUCGUUGUGGGGGAUAACGUAGGGAAACUUACGCUAAUACCGCAUACGACCUACGGGUGAAAGUGGGGGACCUUCGGGCCUCACGCGAUGAGAUGAGCCGAUGCCGGAUUAGCUAGUUGGCGGGGUAAAGGCCCACCAAGGCGACGAUCCGUAGCUGGUCUGAGAGGAUGAUCAGCCACACUGGAACUGAGACACGGUCCAGACUCCUACGGGAGGCAGCAGUGGGGAAUAUUGGACAAUGGGGGCAACCCUGAUCCAGCCAUGCCGCGUGUGGGAAGAAGGUCCUCUGGAUUGUAAACCUCUUUUGGCAGGAAACAAACCUGCGCUAUACGCGCAGCUGAGGGUACCUGCAGAAUAAGCACCGGCUAACUCCGUG